UAAUUUAUAGUAAAAGGAAGUGGGAAAAAGGGAAUCUAUGUCAUUUUUACACCAGGAUUGUUUGUAUUCGCAGUAUAUGUUAUGAUCCGAUUGACAUGCACCAUUAUUGUAAUUAAUAAUGUGGAUGAGCAACUCAUUUGCAUUGACAAGUUUGGAAGUAUUUUAGUAUAUCUAUAUUUGAUUGUUGUAGAUGCGUCCGUUUCUGGAGCGAUUACUGGAAUUGCUUUUGGAAGGUCAUCUAACUGUUCGAGUGUGUCUUUUAAUAAUAUUCAUGCAGCAUGAUUUAUUUUCA
Molecule: long non-coding RNA, 292 nt
Organism: Populus euphratica (Euphrates poplar)
Lineage: Eukaryota; Viridiplantae; Streptophyta; Magnoliopsida; Malpighiales; Salicaceae
Exons: 3
Source: RefSeq, a predicted model, not a curated record